This 423-nucleotide ribosomal RNA is filed under the name Burkholderia pseudomallei 354a. Its description in RNAcentral is "bacterial LSU rRNA". It matches the Rfam family "Bacterial large subunit ribosomal RNA", at positions 961 to 1386 of the family's 2925-position model. The record is from RNAcentral. Lineage: Bacteria; Pseudomonadati; Pseudomonadota; Betaproteobacteria; Burkholderiales; Burkholderiaceae.
ACCGAAGAGUGCAAUCACGGGAGACAGACAUCGGGUGCUAACGUCCGGUGUCAAGAGGGAAACAACCCAGACCGCCAGCUAAGGUCCCCAAAUAUGGCUAAGUGGGAAACGAAGUGGGAAGGCUAAAACAGUCAGGAGGUUGGCUUAGAAGCAGCCACCCUUUAAAGAAAGCGUAAUAGCUCACUGAUCGAGUCGUCCUGCGCGGAAGAUGUAACGGGGCUAAGCCAUAUACCGAAGCUGCGGAUGCGAGCUAGUCUCGCAUGGUAGGAGAGCGUUCCGUAAGCCUGCGAAGGUGCGUUGAAAAGCGUGCUGGAGGUAUCGGAAGUGCGAAUGCUGACAUGAGUAGCGAUAAAGGGGGUGAAAGGCCCCCUCGCCGUAAGCCCAAGGUUUCCUACGCAACGUUCAUCGGCGUAGGGUGAGUCG